Molecule: ribosomal RNA, 498 nt
Filed under: uncultured bacterium
Lineage: Bacteria
Description: bacterial SSU rRNA
Rfam family: Bacterial small subunit ribosomal RNA
Source: RNAcentral
AGUCUCAGAGAGUUUGAUCAUGGCUCAGGAUGAACGCUGGCGGCGUGCUUAACACAUGCAAGUCGAACGAUGAAAGCGGGAGCUUGCUCCUGCUGGAUUAGUGGCGAACGGGUGAGUAACACGUGAGUAACCUGCCCUUGACUCUGGGAUAAGCGUUGGAAACGACGUCUAAUACCGGAUACGACCUUCGGAGGCAUCUCCUGGGGGCGGAAAGAAUUUCGGUCAAGGAUGGACUCGCGGCCUAUCAGCUAGUUGGUGAGGUAAUGGCUCACCAAGGCGACGACGGGUAGCCGGCCUGAGAGGGUGACCGGCCACACUGGGACUGAGACACGGCCCAGACUCCUACGGGAGGCAGCAGUGGGGAAUAUUGCACAAUGGGCGCAAGCCUGAUGCAGCAACGCCGCGUGAGGGACGACGGCCUUCGGGUUGUAAACCUCUUUUAGUAGGGAAGAAGCGAAAGUGACGGUACCUGCAGAAAAAGCACCGGCUAACUACGUG